CUUCAUCAACAACAAUUAAUUGGGCCAUGGUCGAAAUGAUGAAGAAUCCAAGUGUUUUUUCCAAAGCUCAAGCAGAGGUAAGAAAAAUCUUGAGAGGGAAAGAAACUUUUGAUGAAAUUGAUGUCGAGGAGUUCAAAUACCUAAAGAUGGUCAUUAAAGAAACUUUUAGACUCCAUCCUCCACUACCUCUUUUGCUUCCAAGAGAAUGUAAAGAAGAAACAGACUUAAACGGCUACAUUAUUCCAUUGAAAACAAAAGUCGUGGUUAAUGUUUGGGCAAUGGGAAGAGAUCCAAAAUAUUGUGAUGACGUAGAAAGCUUUAAACCUGAGAGAUUUGAACACAACUCUAUGGAUUAUAUUGGUAAUAGUUAUGAAUAUAUUCCCUUUGGUAUCGGAAGGAGAAUUUGCCCUGGAAUAUCAUUUGGUUUAGCAAAUGUUUAUUUUCCACUGGCUCAACUGUUGUAUCACUUUGACUGGAAACUCCCUACUGGAAUCAAUCCAAGUGAACUAGACUUGAUUGAGGCGGCUGGAGCAGCAUGUGCUAGAAAGAAUGACCUACACUUGAUCGCUACUCCUUAUCAACAUUGUCACGAGUGAUCUCAUGGCG
RNAcentral lists this long non-coding RNA (606 nucleotides) under Nicotiana tabacum (common tobacco). RNAcentral's name for it is "long non-coding RNA (NTAB_LNC008106)". The record is from RNAcentral. Lineage: Eukaryota; Viridiplantae; Streptophyta; Magnoliopsida; Solanales; Solanaceae.